Trichobilharzia regenti is the source of this 45-nucleotide non-coding RNA. NCBI's taxonomy places the organism in Eukaryota, Metazoa, Platyhelminthes, Trematoda, Strigeidida, Schistosomatidae. The record is from Rfam.
AUUCAGUUGACGAGUCCCAAAUAGAACGAAAUGUGUAUCUUGGAU